Molecule: ribosomal RNA, 251 nt
Filed under: uncultured bacterium
Lineage: Bacteria
Description: partial 16S ribosomal RNA
Rfam family: Bacterial small subunit ribosomal RNA
Source: RNAcentral
UCCACGCCGUAAACGAUGAUCACUAGUUGUGUGCGAUAUACAGUACGUGACUGAGCGAAAGCAUUAAGUGAUCCACCUGGGGAGUACGUUCGCAAGAAUGAAACUCAAAGGAAUUGACGGGCGGUGAAUACGUUCCCGGGCCUUGUACACACCGCCCGUCAAGCCAUGGGAGCCGGGGGUACCUAAAGUCCGUAACCGCAAGGAUCGGCCUAGGGUAAAACUGGUGACUGGGGCUAAGUCGUAACAAGGUA